GAUGAACGCUGGCGGCGUGCCUAAUACAUGCAAGUCGAGCGAACAGACGAGGAGCUUGCUCCUCUGACGUUAUCGGCGGACGGGUGAGUAACACGUGGAUAACCUACCUAUAAGACUGGGAUAACUUCGGGAAACCGGAGCUAAUACCGGAUAAUAUAUUGAACCGCAUGGUUCAAUAGUUAAAGACGGUUUUGCUGUCACUUAUAGUUGGAUCCGCGCCGCAUUAGCUAGUUGGUAAGGUAACGGCUUACCAAGGCAACGAUGCGUAGCCGACCUGAGAGGGUGAUCGGCCACACGGGAACUGAGACAGGGUACAGACACCUACGGGAGGCAGCAGUAGGGAAUCUUCCGCAAUGGGCGAAAGCCUGACGGAGCAACGCCGCGUGAGUGAUGAAGGUGUUCGGAUCGUAAAACUCUGUUAUUAGGGAAGAACAAAUGUGUAAGUAACUAUGCACGUCUUGACGGUACCUAAUCAGAAAGCCACGGCUAACUACGUG
This 497-nucleotide ribosomal RNA is filed under the name uncultured bacterium. Its description in RNAcentral is "partial 16S ribosomal RNA". It matches the Rfam family "Bacterial small subunit ribosomal RNA", at positions 28 to 507 of the family's 1533-position model. The record is from RNAcentral.